This 336-nucleotide unclassified non-coding RNA is filed under the name soil metagenome. Its description in RNAcentral is "partial contains 5.8S ribosomal RNA, internal transcribed spacer 2, and large subunit ribosomal RNA". The stretch from base 5 to 119 matches the Rfam family "5.8S ribosomal RNA", at positions 40 to 154 of the family's 154-position model. The record is from RNAcentral.
GAUGAGAACGUAGCGAAAUGCGAUAAGUAAUGUGAAUUGCAGAAUUCAGUGAAUCAUCGAAUCUUUGAACGCACAUUGCGCCCCUUGGUAUUCCAUGGGGCAUGCCUGUUCGAGCGUCAUUUGUACCUUCAAGCCUUGCUUGGUGUUGGGUGUUUGUCUCGCCUCUGCGCGCAGACUCGCCUCAAAACAAUUGGCAGCCGGCGUAUUGAUUUCGGAGCGCAGUACAUCUCGCGCUUUGCACUCAGAACGACGACGUCCAAAAGUACAUUUUUACACUCUUGACCUCGGAUCAGGUAGGGAUACCCGCUGAACUUAAGCAUAUCAAUAAGCGGAGGA